GAACUGAAGAGUUUGAUCCUGGCUCAGAUUGAACGCUGGCGGCAUGCCUUACACAUGCAAGUCGAACGGCAGCACGGGUGCUUGCACCUGGUGGCGAGUGGCGAACGGGUGAGUAAUACAUCGGAACAUGUCCUGUAGUGGGGGAUAGCCCGGCGAAAGCCGGAUUAAUACCGCAUACGAUCCACGG
This 187-nucleotide ribosomal RNA is filed under the name Burkholderia multivorans. RNAcentral's name for it is "partial 16S ribosomal RNA". It matches the Rfam family "Bacterial small subunit ribosomal RNA", at positions 1 to 185 of the family's 1533-position model. The record is from RNAcentral. Lineage: Bacteria; Pseudomonadati; Pseudomonadota; Betaproteobacteria; Burkholderiales; Burkholderiaceae.